GAUGAAGAACGUAGCGAAAUGCGAUACUUGGUGUGAAUUGCAGAAUCCCGUGAACCAUCGAGUCCUUGAACGCAAGUUGCGCCUCAAGCCAUUAGGUUGAGGGCACGUCUGCGUGGGCGUCACAUAUCGUUGCCUGAUGCCAGUUUCCUCGUGAUGGGUGACUGUGCAGGGCGAAUGAUGGCUUCCCGUGAGCAUUGUUGCCUCAUGGUUGGUUGAAAAUUGAGUCCUUGGUAGGGAGCGCCGUGAUAGAUGGUGGUUGAGUGACGAACGAGACCCAAUCAUGUGAGACCCCUACCGAAUUUGGCCUUCAUGACCCACAUGCGUCUUUGGAACGCUCAUGGCGAGACCUCAGAUCAGGCGGGGCUACCCGCUGAGUUUAAGCAUAUCAGUAAGCGGGGGA
Molecule: unclassified non-coding RNA, 400 nt
Filed under: soil metagenome
Description: partial contains 5.8S ribosomal RNA, internal transcribed spacer 2, and large subunit ribosomal RNA
Rfam family: 5.8S ribosomal RNA (bases 1-122)
Source: RNAcentral